UGACCUAUGAUGAUGUGCAUAUCAAUGUCACUAGGGAAGAGUGGACAUUGCUGGAUCCUUUUCAGAAGAAUCUCUACAAAGAUGUGAUGAUUGAGAACUACAAAAACCUCACUAUUAUAGGAUACAGUUGGGAAAAUCAUAAUAUUGAAGCACAUUUUCAAAAUCCUAGAAGACAUGUAAGGCAUGAAAGAAGUCAAACUGGAGAGAAGAAACCUUUCAUAUAUACUAAAUGUCAUAAAACCCUUGUAUAUGAGAGUCAUCUUCAAAGUCAUGAAAGUGCACCUAUGGGACAGAAACGCUUUCAAUGAAAUCAGUGUGUUAAAGCCUUUGCCAAACACAGUACUCUUUAAAUAAAUAAAAGAGUCCAUACUGGAGAGAAAUCCUAUGAAUUAAUCAAUGUGGUAAAGCUUUUGCAUAUCACCAAACUCUUCAAAUGCAUGAAAGAACACAUACUGGACAUAAACCCAAUGAAUAUAAUCAAUGUAGUAAAGCCUUUGUACAUCACAAACACCUUUAAAUACAUAAAAGAAGUCAUUCUGGAGAGAAACCCUAUGAAUGUAAUCAGUGUGGUAAAACCUUUGCACAAUAUGCUCAUUUUCAAAGUCAUAAAAGAACACAUACAGCAGAGAAAUCCUAUGAAUGAAAGGAAUGUGGUAAAGCCUUUGCAUGAUUUAGUCAUCGUCAAAGGCAUAAAAGAACACAUACUGGAGAGAAACCCUAUAUAUGUAAUCAGUGUGGUAAAGCCUUUGUACAAUAUGGUCAUCUUUGGUGUUAUAAAAAAACACAUACUGGAGAGAAACUCUAUGAAUGUAAUCAAUGUGGUAAAGCCUUUGCACAACACGGUCAUCUUCAAGUACACAAAAGACCACAUACAAAAGAGAAACCCUAUGAAUGUAAUCAAUAUG
This is a non-coding RNA of Peromyscus maniculatus bairdii (prairie deer mouse), 905 nucleotides long. The record is from RefSeq and is a predicted model, not a curated record. Lineage: Eukaryota; Metazoa; Chordata; Mammalia; Rodentia; Cricetidae.